Molecule: ribosomal RNA, 394 nt
Filed under: uncultured bacterium
Lineage: Bacteria
Description: bacterial SSU rRNA
Rfam family: Bacterial small subunit ribosomal RNA
Source: RNAcentral
GACGAACGCUGGCGGCGUGCUUAACACAUGCAAGUCGAGCGGUAAGGCCCUUUCGGGGUACGACGAGCGGCGAACGGGUAGAGUAACACGUGGGUGGACCUGCCCUCCAGCUCUGGGAGUAAGACCUGGGAAACGUAGGGUCUAAUACCGGAUAUGACUCCAUGACGCAUGUUGUGGGGUGGAAAGCCUUGUGCGGCUGAGGAUGGGCCCGCGGCCUAUCAGCUUGUUGGUGGGGUGAGGCCUACCAAGGCGACGACGGGUAGCCGGCCUGAGAGGGCGACCGGCCACACUGGGACUGAGACACGGCCCAGACUCCUACGGGAGGCAGCAGUGGGGAAUCUUGCGCAAUGGGCGAAAGCCUGACGCAGCGACGCCGCGUGAGGGAUGACGGCCU